UGCAUGGUUGUCGUCAGCUCGUGUCGUGAGAUGUUGGUUAAGUCCCGCAACGAGCGCAACCCCUACGUUUAGUUGCUAACGCGUGAAGGCGAGCACUCUAGACGAACUGCCGUUGACAAAACGGAGGAAGGUGGGGAUGACGUCAAAUCAUCAUGCCCCUUAUGUUCUGGGCUACACACGUGCUACAAUGGCCGGUACAGACGGACGCAAAGCCGCGAGGUGGAGCAAAUCCUAAAAAGCCGGUCUCAGUUCGGAUUGCAGGCUGCAAUUCGCCUGCAUGAAGUCGGAAUCGCUAGUAAUCGCGGAUCAGAACGCCGCGGUGAAUACGUUCUCGGGGUUU
RNAcentral lists this ribosomal RNA (340 nucleotides) under uncultured Pelotomaculum sp. Its description in RNAcentral is "bacterial SSU rRNA". It matches the Rfam family "Bacterial small subunit ribosomal RNA", at positions 1042 to 1382 of the family's 1533-position model. Lineage: Bacteria; Bacillati; Bacillota; Clostridia; Eubacteriales; Desulfotomaculaceae. The record is from RNAcentral.